GGAUCCGAGCCGCGUCUGCAACCUACACCACAGCUCACGGCAACGCCGGAUCGUUAACCCACUGAGCAAGGGCAGGGACCGAACCCGCAACCUCAUGGUUCCUAGUUGGAUUCGUUAACCACUGCGCCACGACGGAGAAUAUUCAUGGAACAUUGCCUGCCAACAGCUGUUUAAUUCAAAUGGUGAAAUGACACCAUAAGUUACCCGUGUGGGGAUGCAUGCGUGUGUUUGCAUAUAAAACCAGCAGUUCUGUGUCACUGCUUCUUGUACCCCAGUACUACUCCAGGGACUAAGUACUUUCAAGUUGUCUGGUUGUUUCUUCGAUAUUUAAAUGCCACAUCUCUAAAUAGCCCGCAUAUUCUAUCUUUUCAAUGUGUCUCCUGACUUCUUGUUACGGUAGAUCAAGAUAAUCAAAGCUCUUACAUGCUCCCCCAUCUCACUCCCAUCUUGUAGCUCUUUCUUUCUUUCUUCUGGAGAAUGUGAGUAACAUAAUUUGAUAAUAUUAAAGUUAAUAUUAAAUUUAAUGUAUGAUCAUUGGAGUAAAAUAAGUACUCAGUAGGUACAUGUCCACAACCACAAGAGUAUUGUCCAGGGCUAAGUCACACAGUAUACUGUGCCGGUGUCUUCUUUCCGGGAUUACUCUUGAAUGUUUUGAAGAUUACUAUUUCCUCAAUUUCUCCUUUUCCUUAUCGUUUCUUAUUUAUUUAUUUAUUUAUUUAUUUAUUUAUUUAUUAUUUAUCAUUUGUCUUUUGAGGGCUGCACCCGCAGCAUAUGGAGGUUCCCAGGCUAGGGGUCCAAUCAGAGCUGUAGCCGCCGGCCUCCACCACAGCCGCAGCAACGAGGGACCUACACCACAGCUCACGGCAACACCGGAUCCUUAACCCACUGAGUGAGGCCAGGGAUCGAACCCACAACCUCAUGGUUCCUAGUCGGAUUUGUUUCCACUGUGCCACGACGGGAACUGCUCUCUAUCUUUUUAAAGAGCUAUUGGUUUUUAAAGUCUUAUUAAGAUAUAACUGGCGUGCAAUAAUUUGCAUAUAAAGUGUACAACUUGAUAAGCUUUGAAAUAUGUAUCACAAACCUGUGAAACUAUGGCCCCAGUAAAGAUAAUGAACUUAAGCGUCGACCCCAAGGAUUGCCUGGGCCCCCUUUUAAUCCCUUCCUCUUCCCGUCUUUGCUUUCUCUCCUUCUCAGGAAACUACUCAUCUCCUUUCACUAUAGUUCAGAUUUUAUUUUCUAGAAUUUGUAUAAAUAGAAUCUCACAGUCUAUACCUUUUUUUGGUCUGCUUUGUGUCACGGCGUAAUUAUUUUGUGACUCAUCCAUGUGGCAUGUCUUGAUGGUUCAUUUCUUUUACUGUGGAGCAGAGUUCCAGUCUCUCCACAUCCGGUUAGUCUUUUAAACUAUAACCACUCUAAGAGGUAUGCAGUGGUUGCUCUGUGAUGCAUUUGUAUUUUCUUCACGGCCAGUGCUGUCACGCAUCUUUCCAUGUGCUUAUUUGCUCUCCACAUGUGUCUGCUGGUGAAGCAUCUAUUUAAAUUUUUACCUAUUAAAAAUUUUUUGGGAGUUCCCAUUGUGGCUCAGUGGGUUAAGGAUCCACUGCUGUUUCUGUGAGGAUGUAUGUUCAAUUCCUGGCCUCACUUAGUGGGUUAAGGAUCCGGCAUUGACACAAGCCGUGGCCUAGGUCACAGAUGCGGCUGGGAUCUGGUGUUGCUGUACCUGUGGUGGAGUCCUCAGCUUCAGCUCUGAUUUGACCCCUGGUCAGGGAACAUUCCAAGGCCACCAAAAAAAAAAAAAAAAAAAAAUUAUUAUAAAUCUUUGGUAUUCACAUAUUAUGGAUAUAAGUCCUUUAUGAGAUAAAUGAUUUGCAAAUACUCUUUAUGAUUUUCAAGUAUUAUCUUUCAGUCUAUGGCUAGUCUUUUUGCUCUUGACAAUGUUUUUCAAAGAGAAGUUCUUAAUUUUAGAAAAAUCCACUGUGCUGAUUUUGACUAAGAAUUCUUUUCCUAAAACAGGAUUACAAAUUUUUUUUUAUAUCUUUUCUUCUAGAAAUUCUAUUCCUUUCAGGUCUAUUAUCCAUCUUGAGUUACUGUUUGAAUAUGCAAGUAGAAGCACUUUUUGGGCUAUAUGGAUAUCCAGUUGUUCAAGCACCACUUAUCAAACAGGCUAUUUAUUCACCAAUGACUUCAUCUCACCUUUGUUGAAAAUCAAUUACUUACAUACACAUAGCUCUAUUUCUUGACUCUCCAUUCUUUUCCACUGACCUGUUAAUCCAUCCAUCUUUUUGUCAAUAUCAUGGUGUCUUGAUUAUUUUUAUAGCAAACUUUCUAGCAAGAUAUUAUAAGUCCUUUUUGUACUUUGAUAAGUUUCUGGGAUUCUCUUAUUUUGGGUGUUGCAUACUUCCAUUUGACUCACUCUGGUCCAAAGAUGGAACUGUUGCAACGCACAAUUUUUUUCAAGAUUUUGAUAUAAGAGUGACAGGCUAGAAGAUGAAUAGUCCUUAUAUAGCAGUCUUCUUCCAAGUGUCGCCGGUGGAGCAUCCAUGUUAGAAUCAACUUUGAUGUGUGUGGGCGUGUGCAUGCAUGUGUAUUCGUGCACUAUUCCUGUGCUUAUGCCUGAUCUACCGACUCAGAAUCUCUAGGAACAAGGGCCCAAGGAUCUGCAUAUUUAGUAGGCUUUCUGAGUGAUUCUUUGGACACUGAGGUUUGAUAAUCGCUGAGGCAAUGAUGCCUGAAAAAAUCCUUUCCUAACUGUCAUCCAUUGCACAGAUGAGUGAAACAGAUGUCAUUAUUUAGGUGGAAAGGAAGAACAUUUAAAUUUACCUGGUUAUUCAUUUACUCACUUUUUCAUUCAUUCAUUCAUUCACUAUGAACAGACAACAAAGACUAAACGUCAUGAAGCAGCUUGAAGAAUUGGUGGAAUCUAGUUCCACAGACAGCUCUCCGACUGUCAGGGGACGAAUCGGCUGCUGAUGGUCCCAGCAGUUGGGGAGCAGAGCAACUCUGUGCUGGUAAGGAUCCCACAGGCGUCCCCACCCCUAGGCUUAUGCAGAUUUAUUUUAAACAGUCCCACACUAAAAGAAAGCUAAGUUAUUUAAAGCCUAUUUAGGACGGGAAGUUUUGUAGCCUCCUUCAUACCAUAGUUCUAGUGUUUAGAACUAUUUUCACCACUACAAGUGCCUGAUUGUCAAAAACAGAUACAAUUUCUUGCCAUGGAAAAAGCAGGGAUGACCUGGGGCCAUGGCGCCCACUGGAGAAAUAGUAAGCCACUAAUGACGGUGGUUCCGUUUGUUUUCAGUCUGGUGUCUUGGUAACUGUUCUCUUGUGCAACAGAACACGUUAAAGUUGGAAGUGGGCUCAGUACACUGGCCUCAUUCUACAGGCCAGGAGGCUAGGGUUCAGGGAAGCCAAGUGACAUAUACCACGUCACACAGAUAACAAGUGACGAUCUAUGUGGAAAGCAGAUAUAGCAGCCUUUGCAUUACUCUGCUGAAAUAAUUAGCAUGGGGCUUACUAACGACCCAGAGCAAGUAAGGAUGCUUCUUAUCGCAGAAGCAUGGCAAGAGCUCCGUAGUAAAAAUACAAGAUAAUGUCCUGAGUCCAAUCCUUUGUGUAAAUAAGUAAGCAAAUAAAUGGGAAACCUCCAAACUUCCACUCCUAACAAUGAAGAGUUUUAAUUUUUUUUUAAUGAGUACAUCCCUAGGGGAACAUGUGUAUAUGGCCUUAUAUUGUACACUGACUAGAAAAGGAUCCACAGUUCCUCAGAAGAUCCAUUCCCUUGAUUAGUGGGAAGUGAGGUGAGUUAAUUAAGGUUACCUUAACACUAAUUAGUCAAGACCUUAAUUAUGCUUUCAGGGCAAGAACAUAGGCGUACUUUGGUUCUUAGUGACCCAGUUAAACAAAGUGAUGGGAUUUCUUGUCUUCUGUCUAACAGUGAUUUGUGAUAAGGAACAAAGGGAGAAAAUCUAAUCCACUGGGGUUGUAGGAACCUUCUUAAAACAGAGUCAACCAGAGAGCAGCAGUGGGCCUAAGAUUUCAAAAAGCAUCCUCUGUAGCUUCUGAGCUAGCCCUGCAGGAGAAAGGCCAAGGGGUUGAGGCCUGGCUGACUUCGUCCUGGAGAGCUCCAAAGAAAUUCACUCAUCAGACCAGAAAAAUAAAUGGAUCAGAGUAUAAGAAAUAACGGAGGGCCUCAAGUUCAAGGGGGAGAGCUGGGGGAAGUCAUAACAAAUAAGCUGAAGACGAAGUGGGAAAAGCCCUUUCCCAGCCAUGGCUGUGUGUUUCGCUGACUGAGGGUCUUCCGCAGGCCAGGCUUUUGGUCUAAGUGGAUGGGAAGUUAUGUCUGGUUGGACAGAUAGGUUUGCAGACAGACAAAGUACACCGCAACAUACUAAGGAGGCUGGUUGUAAGUCUGUCUCUCCCACCAGACUGUGUGCAGGCUGGACUGCAUCUUGUGAUUCACCAAAUGCAGCAUGAAAAUGGGAUUAGAUUCUUGCCAGCACCAGUAUUCUCUUUCCCAUAGCUGUAACCUCUCACGUUUCCAGGGUGAUGUGUGAACAAAGCCAUUCUAACUUGGCUCUACCUAGAAGAAUUUUUGUCUUGGGUGGUGUCAUUUAGGCAUGAGAAAAAGCAAUAUGCCAGCUCAAGCCUGGCUCAAAAGACUAAAUUUGGAGAAAGCUGUUGUAUUUGUAUGUGUUUCUAGUUUUAAUGGAUUAUAUCCAUUGUCCUUCUUUGCAAAAUACCGCAAACCCCAUUUCAUAAAGGCAUUUCCCUCUAUCACAAAAAUGUUAAUAGGAUAAUUUAUGGAAACAUUAAUUUGUGCUCUAAGAUGCUUCCUUUGGCAUGAAUUCUCUUUCUUAUGUACCAAGAUUCAGUGAUUCCUUGUCUGAGGGCUUUUUGCAUGGUGGAUACAAAGGCAAGUCAUUUUGUUUCGGAAAAUCUGAACUCAAUGAGAAGGUGGUCCCGGGUCUUCUUGGAAGAGGGUGGUAAUAAAAGUGAAUUUGAGGGUGGGCUUGCAGGCUGAAGCAUCCUUGUGGGUGUGGGUGGGGAUGGUGGGGGAGUGAGAGACCGGGUCGGGGCUUUGCAGUUUCUACAGCUGCACACAC
RNAcentral lists this long non-coding RNA (5096 nucleotides) under Sus scrofa (pig). Its description in RNAcentral is "lncRNA (ENSSSCG00015037017.1)". Lineage: Eukaryota; Metazoa; Chordata; Mammalia; Artiodactyla; Suidae. The record is from RNAcentral.